This 737-nucleotide long non-coding RNA is filed under the name Phoenix dactylifera (date palm). Its description in RNAcentral is "long non-coding RNA (PDAC_LNC018039)". The record is from RNAcentral. Lineage: Eukaryota; Viridiplantae; Streptophyta; Magnoliopsida; Arecales; Arecaceae.
UCCGAUGGUUGGCAGGUCGACUCCAAAGAAGGUAAGAGUCGACUCUCAGAGGAACACAAGGAAAAAGUCAGAGAACGAUUUUCGGACUCCGAGAUUCGAGUCGACUCCCGCAGUACACGAAUCGACUCCGAGACUGAGCGACCAUCAACAGACAGAAGACCAUGUUACUGCCUCUGAGAUUCGAGUCGACUCCCAGACUGCUCGAGUCGACUCCAAGACAAGCUUCACGUCAAAAGGCAGAAGACCAACUUUCGGAAACUGAGAGCCGAGUCGACUCCAAGGAGGUUCGAGUCGACUUCAAGACUGGAUGAGCCAGACGACAGAGAAUCGAGAGUUCGGGCUCUGAGAUUCGAGUCGACUCCCAGGACAGUCGAGUCGACUCGAGUGGACAAAAUUCAAAUUUGGAUCCACGGACUUCAGUGGAUGAGCCGACUCCAAAAAUUGCCAGGUCAACUCCAGAAGUUGGCGAGUCGACUCCAGGUCAAGACGAGUCGACUCCCAGUCAAGACGGCAACUUUAAUUCAAAUUUGGAGCAGUUGCCGAGUCGACUCCGGAAAAGCGUGAGUCGACUCCUGCUACAGACGAGUCGACUCCUGAUCGCGCGAGUCGACUCCAACCCACCAACGGUCAUAUUGUCAGGCUGCGCAGAGUGUGCAGAACGGCCAGAAAAAGCAGAGUAAUGGCUAGUUUCCGUGGGGGUUGGCAUAAAUAGCCACAGAGGACUGUAGCAAGGUAGA